RNAcentral lists this ribosomal RNA (311 nucleotides) under Brassica oleracea var. oleracea. RNAcentral's name for it is "rRNA LSU_rRNA_eukarya". It matches the Rfam family "Eukaryotic large subunit ribosomal RNA", at positions 1891 to 2091 of the family's 3401-position model. Lineage: Eukaryota; Viridiplantae; Streptophyta; Magnoliopsida; Brassicales; Brassicaceae. The record is from RNAcentral.
UGGAACAAUGUAGGCAAGGGAAGUCGGCAAAAUGGAUCCGUAACUUCGGGAAAAGGAUUGGCUCUGAGGGCUGGGCUCGGGGGUCCCAGUUCCGAACCCGUCGAAUGUUGGCUGGCUGCUUGAGCCGCUAAGAAUAAAAAGGCACGCUGUGAGGCUACGAGAGCGGUCAGCGAGAUUCCUAGUUCUAAAAACCCUAAGACGGUAAAAAUCGAAUUGAGUUGCAGCUCGAAUAACGAAAACGGAAAAUUACCUAAAAUCGCUCUAAGUGCUAUGUUUGCUCUGAAAAAUGUUCUCUCCAUGCUUCUCACCUA